UUCCGGUUGAUCCUGCCGGACCCCACUGCUAUCGAGGUGGGACUAAGCCAUGCUAGUUGAGCGCACAGAACUAUGUCUGUGAGCGGCACACUGCUCAGUAACACGUAGCUAACCUACCCUUAGGACGUGGACAACCCCGAGAAAUUGGGGCUAAUCCGCGAUAGAUGUAUUGUCCUGGAAUGGUAUUACGUCUAAAGGUAUCCCAUACAUGUUUGGUAUACGCCUAAGGAUGGGGCUGCGGCCGAUCAGGCAGUUGGUGAGGUAAUGGCUCACCAAACCGUUGACCGGUACGGGCCAUGAGAGUGGUAGCCCGGAGAUGGACACUGAGACAAGGGUCCAGGCCCUACGGGGCGCAGCAGGCGCGAAACCUCCUCAAUGCACUUACGUGCGAAGGGCUACCUCGAGUGCCACCUGAUGAAGGUGGCUUUCCUAGGUCUAAAAAGCCUUGGGAAUAAGAGGGGGGCAAGACUGGUGUCAGCCGCCGCGGUAACACCAGCCCCUCGAGUGGUGGGGAUGAUUAUUGGGCCUAAAGCGUCCGUAGCCUGCCGUAUAAGUUUCCCGUUAAAUCCAGCGUCUCAAGCGUUGGACUGCGGGAAAUACUGUACGGCUAGAGAGUGGGAGAGGUCAGCGGUAUUCUGGGGGUAGGGGCGAAAUCCAUUGAUCCCCGGAGGACCACCAGUGGCGAAGGCUGCUGUCUAGAACACGUCUGACGGUCAGGGAUGAAAGCUGGGGGAGCAAACCGGAUUAGAUACCCGGGUAGUCCCAGCUGUAAACUAUGCAAACUCAGUGAUGCAUUGGCUUGUGGCCAAUGCAGUGUUGCAGGGAAGCCGUUAAGUUUGCCGCCUGGGAAGUACGGUCGCAAGGCUAAAACUUAAAGGAAUUGGCGGGGGAGCACCACAAGGGGUGAAGCCUGCGGUUCAAUUGGAUUCAACGCCGGA
RNAcentral lists this ribosomal RNA (938 nucleotides) under uncultured archaeon. Its description in RNAcentral is "partial 16S ribosomal RNA". It matches the Rfam family "Archaeal small subunit ribosomal RNA", at positions 1 to 922 of the family's 1478-position model. The record is from RNAcentral.